RNAcentral lists this transfer RNA (68 nucleotides) under Marmota monax (woodchuck). Its description in RNAcentral is "tRNA.Ala". The stretch from base 5 to 65 matches the Rfam family "tRNA", at positions 6 to 65 of the family's 71-position model. Rfam says of the family: Transfer RNA (tRNA) molecules are approximately 80 nucleotides in length. Their secondary structure includes four short double-helical elements and three loops (D, anti-codon, and T loops). Further hydrogen bonds mediate the characteristic L-shaped molecular structure. tRNAs have two regions of fundamental functional importance: the anti-codon, which is responsible for specific mRNA codon recognition, and the 3' end, to which the tRNAs corresponding amino acid is attached (by aminoacyl-tRNA synthetases). tRNAs cope with the degeneracy of the genetic code in two manners: having more than one tRNA (with a specific anti-codon) for a particular amino acid; and 'wobble' base-pairing, i.e. permitting non-standard base-pairing at the 3rd anti-codon position. The record is from RNAcentral. Lineage: Eukaryota; Metazoa; Chordata; Mammalia; Rodentia; Sciuridae.
GGAUUGUGGCUCAGCGGUAGAGCGCUCGUCUAGCACGUGUGAAGCCUUGGGUUCGAACCUCAGCACCA